AUGAACGAUUCUUUGUUAAAAUCAUAUGUGGCAGAAGAUGUUAAAAGAGCUAUUUUCUCCAUUGGGCACAUGAAAGCCCCAAGGAGCGAUGGAUUGCAUGCGAUUUUAUUCAAAAAAAUGUGGCACCUUCUUGGUGAUGCACUUAUUGCAGAAGUUCUAUAUGCUAUCAACAACAGAGUUAUACCAGAAGGGUGGAAUGAUACGGUUAUUGUUUUAAUCCCCAAGGUCCAUAGUCCGGAGAGAAUUACUCAAUAUCGACCUAUUAGCAUAUGUAAUGUGUUGUAUAAGGUGGUUUCCAAGAUGAUUGCUUUUCGCCUCAAGGCUAUCCUUGAUGAGAUUAUUUCUCCGGUACAGAGUGCGGUUGUCCCUGGGCGUCUAACUACAGAUAAUAUAUUAUUAUCCUAUGAAUGCCUACAUACCAUCAAGAACAAGAAGAAGGGGAAUUUUGGAUAUUGUGCUGUCAAGCUUGACAUGCACAAGGCCUAUGACCGGGUUGAGUGAAAGUUUCUUGAAAAAAUGAUGGAAAGAUUGGGUUUCCAUAGAGAGAUCAUUGAACUGAUACUAGCUUGUGUUACCUCUGUUAAAUAUGAAGUGAGAUAUAAUGAUCAAGAAAUGGAAGGCUUCAUUCCCACAAGGGGGCUCCGCCAAGGGGACCCUUUGUCACCAUAUCUUUUUCUUAUUUGUGCAAAAGGGUUAUCUAGUGCUUUGGCUCAAGCAGAGGAGGGGCAUGGCAUUGAAGGUGUUAGGGUGUGCAGGAAUUCACCAUCAGUCUCUCAUUUACCUUUUGAUGAUGAUUCCUUAAUCCUUAUGAAGGCGGAUAUGAAUAAUGCAACCUCAUUGAGAUAGGUAUUUGAUGACUAUCACACAAGCUUUGGUCAAUUAGUGAGUGAUGGGAAGAGUAGUAUUUUUUCCAGUCCUAAUGUGCAAGUAGAAGUCAAAGCUCAAAUAUGUGCAAAACUCAAUAUCAUGACAGAAGCCCUCUCAGAUACAUAUCUUGGUCUCCCUUCUAUGAUUGGUUCAGAUAGGAGUGAUAGCUUCACAUAUUUGGUGGAGAGGGUGGUUAAUAGGCUCAAAGGAUGGAAGGAAAAAUUGUUAUCUUUUGGUGGUAAGGAAAUUUUAUUGAAAGCUAUCAUUGCAUCAAUCCCUGUUUUUGCUAUGUCUGUUUUUAAAAUCCCUAAGAAGGUGUGCAAAGAAAUCACUGAUGCCAUGUCUGCCUUUUGAUGGGGAUAUAUGGAGGAAGAAAAUAAAAUGCAUUGGGUGGCAUGGUGGAGAAUGCGUCUACCAAAAAUCAGGGGAGGCAUGGGAUUUAGGGAUCUCCAUGCUUUCAAUAUAGCUAUGCUAGCUAAGCAAAGUUGUAGGCUAUUAUCUCAGCCAGAUACUUUAUGUGCAAGAGUUCUUCGGGCCAAAUAUUACCCAUAUGGAAACCUGCUCAAAGCAAGGCCGAAAAAAGGAUCUAGUUUUACUUGGCAAAGUAUUUUUCGGGACUCCAAACCUUUCAGAGAGGUCAUAUUUGGAGAAUUGGCUCAGCAGAGAAAAUUAGUAUUUGGGACGAUCACUGGAUUCCAUCUAGUCAGACACGUAUGGUUAUGA
This 1590-nucleotide ribosomal RNA is filed under the name Triticum aestivum (bread wheat). RNAcentral describes it as "partial small subunit ribosomal RNA". Lineage: Eukaryota; Viridiplantae; Streptophyta; Magnoliopsida; Poales; Poaceae. The record is from RNAcentral.